This 834-nucleotide ribosomal RNA is filed under the name Curtobacterium flaccumfaciens. RNAcentral's name for it is "bacterial SSU rRNA". It matches the Rfam family "Bacterial small subunit ribosomal RNA", at positions 56 to 1430 of the family's 1533-position model. The record is from RNAcentral. Lineage: Bacteria; Bacillati; Actinomycetota; Actinomycetes; Micrococcales; Microbacteriaceae.
UGCAAGUCGAACGAUGAUGCCCAGCUUGCUGGGUGGAUUAGUGGCGAACGGGUGAGUAACACGUGAGUAACCUGCCCCUGACUCUGGGAUAAGCGUUGGAAACGACGUCUAAUACUGGAUAUGAUCACCGGCCGCAUGGUCUGGUGGUGGAAAGAUUUUUUGGUUGGGGAUGGACUCGCGGCCUAUCAGCUUGUUGGUGAGGUAAUGGCUCACCAAGGCGACGACGGGUAGCCGGCCUGAGAGGGUGACCGGCCACACUGGGACUGAGACACGGCCCAGACUCCUACGGGAGGCAGCAGUGGGGAAUAUUGCACAAUGGGCGAAAGCCUGAUGCAGCAACGCCGCGUGAGGGAUGACGGCCUUCGGGUUGUAAACCUCUUUUAGUAGGGAAGAAGCGAGAAACGGCCAGAGAUGGUCGCCCCCUUGUGGUCGGUGUACAGGUGGUGCAUGGUUGUCGUCAGCUCGUGUCGUGAGAUGUUGGGUUAAGUCCCGCAACGAGCGCAACCCUCGUUCUAUGUUGCCAGCGGGUUAUGCCGGGGACUCAUAGGAGACUGCCGGGGUCAACUCGGAGGAAGGUGGGGAUGACGUCAAAUCAUCAUGCCCCUUAUGUCUUGGGCUUCACGCAUGCUACAAUGGCCGGUACAAAGGGCUGCGAUACCGUAAGGUGGAGCGAAUCCCAAAAAGCCGGUCUCAGUUCGGAUUGAGGUCUGCAACUCGACCUCAUGAAGUCGGAGUCGCUAGUAAUCGCAGAUCAGCAACGCUGCGGUGAAUACGUUCCCGGGCCUUGUACACACCGCCCGUCAAGUCAUGAAAGUCGGUAACACCCGAAGCCGG